UCCCCGUUACCGGGGCAGUAUCAGUAGAAAAAUUCAACUACUGACAAGGGUUGCGCUCGUUGAUGGACUUAACCAAACAUCUCACGACACGAGCUGACGACGGCCAUGCAAGAUCUGUCACCGAGUUCAAUAAAGCACUCACUCCUUUCGGAGUAAUUCUCGGGAUGUCAAGCCCUGGUGAGGUUCUUCGUUUAUCAUCGAAUUAAAGAACACGCUCCACCGCUUGUGCGGGUCCCCGUCAAUUCCUUUGAGUUUUAGCCUUGCGGCCGUAGUCCCCAGGCGGAGUACUUAUCGCGUUAGCUGCGGCACCGAGGGGGUCGAUACCCCCGACACCUAGUACUCAUCGUUUACAGCGUGGACUAC
RNAcentral lists this unclassified non-coding RNA (363 nucleotides) under uncultured bacterium. Its description in RNAcentral is "contains 16S-23S intergenic spacer region". The record is from RNAcentral.